CCAGAGUAAGCCGAGCGCCUAUUGGCUACGCCGCCGCGCUCGCUCGCGUCCAGGCCCCGCCUCCCCGGUGAGGGAGGGGCGGGGCACAGGAAGCGGCGACGCGCCGAGCGGGCGGGCCUGGUGGCGGGGGGUCUGGGCGCGCGCCCCGGGCGCGGUGGGCGGAGCCGGGGCGGGAGGUGGGGGAGGAACCGAAGCCAGGGUUAGAGUAACGGCCCGGGUUGGCACGUGGAGGUUACGUGCAGAGGUUCGGCUCAACCAGGGCUUUGCCUCCCACUCGAGAGGAAUCAAUUUUUGCAAAAAGAUGUGCAAGAUUUCCGAUAAAUAGCAUCCUUGGAUGGAGAAGAGGAACGACUCCCUCGCCCUGACACACACACCCACGCCAGCCCACAGCUCAGAAGAGGCUUUUCUUUCUUAGGCAGCUGCACACUGUUACCAUUCCAGGCUUGUGUGGGAGAAGAUUGUUGUUCACCUGUAUCUGUCCGCCUGGGCGGCUCCAGCCCCUGGUUAAUAAAAGCAUGCAGGCUCUGCAUUAUUGUGGGUGUGAUCAUGCUGCAGAGGUCGCUUCAGUCCUAGGUGGGCUCACCUUUCUCCACUUUGAACACUGUUUAACAUCCUGUGUCUCUUGCCCACUCUUUAUUCAAAAAGAAGGAAAGAAGAAAGAAAACUAAGCUCAGUCUUACCCAGCUUACUCAUCUCACACAGUCAAGCAGGAUAAUG
Molecule: long non-coding RNA, 717 nt
Organism: Alexandromys fortis (reed vole)
Lineage: Eukaryota; Metazoa; Chordata; Mammalia; Rodentia; Cricetidae
Exons: 3
Source: RefSeq, a predicted model, not a curated record